RNAcentral lists this ribosomal RNA (649 nucleotides) under uncultured bacterium. RNAcentral describes it as "bacterial SSU rRNA". It matches the Rfam family "Bacterial small subunit ribosomal RNA", at positions 93 to 740 of the family's 1533-position model. The record is from RNAcentral.
GACCGGCAAACGGGUGCGGAACACGUACGCAACCUUCCUUUAAGCGGGGGAUAGCCCAGGGAAACUUGGAUUAAUACCCCAUAAGACAAUGGUGUGGCAUCACACAGUUGUUAAAGCUCCGGCACUUAAAGAUGGGCGUGCGGCUGAUUAGGUAGUUGGCGGGGUAACGGCCCACCAAGCCGACGAUCAGUAACUGGUGUGAGAGCACGACCAGUCACACGGGCACUGAGACACGGGCCCGACUCCUACGGGAGGCAGCAGUAAGGAAUAUUGGUCAAUGGACGCAAGUCUGAACCAGCCAUGCCGCGUGGAGGAUGAAGGCCCUCUGGGUUGUAAACUUCUUUUAUUGGGGAAGAAACCUGUUUUUUCUAAAGCAGUUGACGGUACCCGAUGAAUAAGCACCGGCUAACUCCGUGCCAGCAGCCGCGGUAAUACGGAGGGUGCAAGCGUUAUCCGGAUUCACUGGGUUUAAAGGGUGCGUAGGUGGGCAGGUAAGUCAGUGGUGAAAUCUCUGGGCUUAACCCAGAAACUGCCGUUGAUACUAUCUGUCUUGAAUGUAGUGGAGGUGAGCGGAAUAUGUCAUGUAGCGGUGAAAUGCUUAGAUAUGACAUAGAACAUCUAUUGCGAAGGCAGCUCGCUACACUAUUAU